GGCAGUGUAGCCAAGUGGUUACGGCGUCACGUUUAGGCCAACACGUCCUUAAACCGUGAUGGGUUUCCCUCGCGAGUUCGAAUCUCGUCACUGUCA
Molecule: non-coding RNA, 96 nt
Organism: Pisolithus marmoratus
Lineage: Eukaryota; Fungi; Basidiomycota; Agaricomycetes; Boletales; Pisolithaceae
Source: the annotation of a GenBank genome assembly